AAAUUGAAGAGUUUGAUCAUGGCUCAGAUUGAACGCUGGCGGCAGGCCUAACACAUGCAAGUCGAACGGUAACAGGAAGAAGCUUGCUUCUUUGCUGACGAGUGGCGGACGGGUGAGUAAUGUCUGGGAAACUGCCUGAUGGAGGGGGAUAACUACUGGAAACGGUAGCUAAUACCGCAUAACGUCGCAAGACCAAAGAGGGGGACCUUCGGGCCUCUUGCCAUCGGAUGUGCCCAGAUGGGAUUAGCUAGUAGGUGGGGUAACGGCUCACCUAGGCGACGAUCCCUAGCUGGUCUGAGAGGAUGACCAGCCACACUGGAACUGAGACACGGUCCAGACUCCUACGGGAGGCAGCAGUGGGGAAUAUUGCACAAUGGGCGCAAGCCUGAUGCAGCCAUGCCGCGUGUAUGAAGAAGGCCUUCGGGUUGUAAAGUACUUUCAGCGGGGAGGAAGGGAGUAAAGUUAAUACCUU
This 472-nucleotide ribosomal RNA is filed under the name Escherichia coli. RNAcentral describes it as "bacterial SSU rRNA". It matches the Rfam family "Bacterial small subunit ribosomal RNA", at positions 1 to 469 of the family's 1533-position model. The record is from RNAcentral. Lineage: Bacteria; Pseudomonadati; Pseudomonadota; Gammaproteobacteria; Enterobacterales; Enterobacteriaceae.